RNAcentral lists this long non-coding RNA (380 nucleotides) under Bos taurus (domestic cattle). Its description in RNAcentral is "long non-coding RNA NONBTAT002826". Lineage: Eukaryota; Metazoa; Chordata; Mammalia; Artiodactyla; Bovidae. The record is from RNAcentral.
AAGACCUAGAUCAGUCAAGGUAAACUUCUACUCCUCACAUACAUGAAAAUUUCAGAUUAAAAUGACAUCAAAGCUUCAUUUAUUCAAGUAACUACCUUUAAUCUCCCUUUUACUUGGGACAUGUCAACCUAAUAGUGUUUUCAGUGGGCACAGUCUUUAAAUGCAUUCUCAUCCUUUUUCUAUAUAUGUUGAAACUAAAUCAGUUGCAGUUCUUACAUGUAUAGUACGUUGGUUAGUUUCAUUCAUCAUUCUUGCUUUUGAAAAUGAAGUAACUUUACUUGAAGGGUGUACUUUAAGCUAAAUUUCCAUACCAUAAAACUUCCACAUCAGGAUCAGCAUUCACAUUCAAAGAUUAUUGGAGGGUCAUUUAUUUUGUGUAU